This 253-nucleotide ribosomal RNA is filed under the name uncultured bacterium. RNAcentral's name for it is "partial 16S ribosomal RNA". It matches the Rfam family "Bacterial small subunit ribosomal RNA", at positions 524 to 776 of the family's 1533-position model. The record is from RNAcentral.
UACAGAGGUCUCAAGCGUUGUUCGGAAUCACUGGGCUUAAAGCGUGUGUAGGCGGACUUCUAAGUACCUUGUGAAAUCCCACGGCUCAACCGUGGAACUGCUUGGUAUACUGGUUGUCUUGAGCCACUUAGGGGCAGUCGGAACAGACGGUGGAGCGGUGAAAUGCGUAGAUAUCGCUUGGAACGCCGACGGUGAAAACAGUCUGCUGGGGGUGUGCUGACGCUGAGACACGAAAGCCAGGGGAGCGAACGGG